AUACGGAGGGUGCAAGCGUUAUCCGGAAUCACUGGGUUUAAAGGGUGCGUAGGCGGUUUUAUAAGUCAGUGGUAAAAGGUUGUAGCUCAACUAUAAGAGGUCCAUUGAUACUGUAAGACUUGAAUCGAGUUGAGGUUGGCGGAAUGAGACAUGUAGCGGUGAAAUGCUUAGAUAUGUCAUAGAACACCAAUUGCGAAGGCAGCUGACUAGACUUAGAUUGACGCUGAGGCACGAAAGUGUGGGUAGCGAACAGGAUUAGAUACCCUGGUAGUCCACACCCUAAACGAUGUUUACUCGAUGUUUGGCGAAAGCUGAGCGUCCAAGCGAAAGCGUUAAGUAAACCACCUGGGGAGUACGCUCGCAAGAGUGAA
This 371-nucleotide ribosomal RNA is filed under the name uncultured bacterium. RNAcentral describes it as "bacterial SSU rRNA". It matches the Rfam family "Bacterial small subunit ribosomal RNA", at positions 523 to 898 of the family's 1533-position model. The record is from RNAcentral.